RNAcentral lists this transfer RNA (76 nucleotides) under Candidatus Berkelbacteria bacterium. Its description in RNAcentral is "tRNA-His". It matches the Rfam family "tRNA". Rfam says of the family: Transfer RNA (tRNA) molecules are approximately 80 nucleotides in length. Their secondary structure includes four short double-helical elements and three loops (D, anti-codon, and T loops). Lineage: Bacteria; Candidatus Berkelbacteria. The record is from RNAcentral.
GUGGCUGUAGCUCAGCGGUUAGAGCACCGGGUUGUGGUCCCGGGGGUCGAGGGUUCAAAUCCCUCCAGCCACCCCA